CCGAAAGGCAGGAGUGCCUGCAAGGGAGCGCGGAGACAGGUGGUGCAUGGCUGUCGUCAGCUCGUGUCGUGAGAUGUUGGGUUAAGUCCCGCAACGAGCGCAACUCUCACCUCUUGUUGCCAUCAGGUCAUGCUGGGCACUCUAGAGGAACUGCCCCGGUCAACGGGGAGGAAGGCGGGGAUGACGUCAAGUCAUCAUGCCCCUUACGUCCUGGGCUACACACGUGCUACAAUGGCCGGUGCAAAGGGAUGCCACACCGCGAGGUACAGCUAAACCCAAAAAGCCGGUCUAAGUUCGGAUUGGAGUCUGCAACUCGACUCCAUGAAGGAGGAAUCGCUAGUAAUCGCGUAUCAGCACGACGCGGUGAAUACGUUCCCGGGCCUUGUACACACCGCCCGUCACACCAGGAAAGCCAG
This 416-nucleotide ribosomal RNA is filed under the name uncultured bacterium. RNAcentral describes it as "bacterial SSU rRNA". It matches the Rfam family "Bacterial small subunit ribosomal RNA", at positions 1001 to 1414 of the family's 1533-position model. The record is from RNAcentral.